GACGAACGCUGGCGGCGUGCUUAACACAUGCAAGUCGAACGGAAAGGCCUGCUUUCCCUUGUGGAUUGCGGGUACUCGAGUGGCGAACGGGUGAGUAACACGUGAGUGAUCUGCCCCCAACUUGGGUAUAAGCCUGGGAAACUGGGUCUAAUUCCCGAUAGGACUGCAGGGUGGUGCCUGCGGUGGAAAACGAUUUUCUAGUGGUUGGGGAUGAGCUCGCGGCCUAUCAGCUUGUUGGUGGGGUAAUGGCCUACCAAGGCGGCGACGGGUAGCCGGCCUGAGAGGGUGGACGGCCACAUUGGGACUGAGAUACGGCCCAGACUCCUACGGGAGGCAGCAGUGGGGAAUAUUGCACAAUGGGCGGAAGCCUGAUGCAGCGACGCCGCGUGGGGGAUGACGGCCUUCGGGUGGUAAACUCCUUUCGACCGCGAGGAAGCCACCUGGUUGGAAGGGUGGUGACGGUAGUGGUAGAAGAAGCACCGGCUAACUACGUG
RNAcentral lists this ribosomal RNA (494 nucleotides) under uncultured bacterium. RNAcentral describes it as "partial 16S ribosomal RNA". It matches the Rfam family "Bacterial small subunit ribosomal RNA", at positions 28 to 507 of the family's 1533-position model. The record is from RNAcentral.